RNAcentral lists this ribosomal RNA (253 nucleotides) under uncultured bacterium. Its description in RNAcentral is "partial 16S ribosomal RNA". It matches the Rfam family "Bacterial small subunit ribosomal RNA", at positions 524 to 776 of the family's 1533-position model. The record is from RNAcentral.
UACAGAGGUGGCAAGCGUUGUUCGGAAUUACUGGGCGUAAAGGGCUCGUAGGCGGCCAACUAAGUCAGACGUGAAAUCCCUCGGCUUAACCGGGGAACUGCGUCUGAUACUGGAUGGCUUGAGGUUGGGAGAGGGAUGCGGAAUUCCAGGUGUAGCGGUGAAAUGCGCAGAUAUCAGGAGGAACACCGAUGGCGAAGGCAGGUCUCUGGGCCACUACUGACGCUGAGAAGCGAAAGCAUGGGGAGCGAACAGG